UACGAACCGUCCAAACGUUACUCGGAAUCACUGGGCUUAAAGGGUGCUUAGGCCGCGCGGAGGGUGGGAUGUGACAUCCCCCGGCUCAACCGGGGAAUAGCGUCCCAAACCGCCGUGCUCGAGGGAGACAGAGGUGAGCGGAACUGAUGGUGGAGCGGUGAAAUGCGUUGAUAUCAUCAGGAACACCAGUGGCGAAAGAGGCGCAUGGGGUCUUUCCUAACGAUGAGGCACGAAAGCUAGGGGAGCGAACGGG
This 253-nucleotide ribosomal RNA is filed under the name uncultured bacterium. RNAcentral's name for it is "partial 16S ribosomal RNA". It matches the Rfam family "Bacterial small subunit ribosomal RNA", at positions 524 to 776 of the family's 1533-position model. The record is from RNAcentral.